This 21-nucleotide non-coding RNA is filed under the name Arabidopsis thaliana (thale cress). Lineage: Eukaryota; Viridiplantae; Streptophyta; Magnoliopsida; Brassicales; Brassicaceae. The record is from RNAcentral.
UUGUUAGGUGUGCAUUUGAUG